CCGAUAAUAUUAUUUUAUAAUGGGUCGAUUAAUUUAAGUGGAAAAUUAAAUCAUACACGUCAGUUAUGUGGCGUCUGGAAAUUGCUAUAGUAGACUUUUAUUUUCUUGAAAACGAAACCAUAAAUAUAAUAACACUUUUUGUCAAAAUUGAUUGAUGGUAAAACCGACGGUUGCUUAUCGUUUUGGACCAGAACUUCCAAGAAUAAUUCAUUUAACAUUUCUGCUCGGUUGUGUUGGGUUGGCAAGCUCCAAUGAUAAUUGAGACAAAUUGGAGCCAUACAAUUGGAGGGACAUAUAUAAUUGUUCCAGCAUAAUACUUUUCAAAAAGAAAAAAAAAAAUUGUUGCAGCAUAAUAAUAAUUGAUGCAACUAUUUUGUUUUCUGUCCCUUCUCAUCCUACUUACAAAUUGGAUACGAACCCUAGUCUCAUGAUCUUUGGUGAAUUUAUGUAAACCACACGGGUGUUGAUUUAUUCAAAUUAAUUCGUCAACGAUCACACCAUUUAACUUAAUUGAACAUCACAAUCGUUGAAAUUGAUCAUAUAAUCACUUUAACUUAAUUAGGAGGAACCCCGCAAUAAGUGAUAUUGAAAUAUAAUGAGAAUCACGUUUAAAUAUUUAAUUUUCUUGUUUUUUGACUUUUAUGUUAGAAGAUAAAUAAAAAUGCACGACAGUUUAAAUUGAAAACCCACUUGGGAUUUCACGGUCUAGAGGGACUGAUCAAAGUUUCAAAAGUCAUUACUGAAAAAUGACCAAUCUUUAUUUAAUUAAAUGAUUAAUUGUUUAGAGGAAGCUUUAUUAUUUAAUUAUAUUCUAAUAAUUAAUAUAUAAAAAUGGAUUACUGUUUAAUAAUUUAAAAUAACUAAUAGUAAAUACGUAAAUAUAAAUAAAGUUGAAUAGCAUUAAUUUAAAAUUAAUAGUAAUAUAAAUAAUAAUAUAAAAUAAUAUGACAUAUGCUAUAGUACAUAUUGCACCAAACAUUAUAUUAUAUGACAGUUUACUACACCUUAGUGUAAUACAUCGUAUUGCAAAUAUAUCUAAUGCAAAAUAAUAUCAUGUUCCAAACGCACCCUAAAAUUAUAAAUUCACUUAUUGGAGGCAAGGCAAUUGUUGUCUGGUGAGACUUGGGAGAAAGUAAGGGGAUAACAAUCUUGAUAACAUUCUACUUCAUUCAUCUUAUAUAACUAGUGAUUAAUUUGUUGUAAUACUAAAACCCGAUUUAACAAAAGUAAUCUUGACACAUCAUAACUCAAAUUUUUUAAAGAUAAUUAAUGAAAUGCCUCUAAAAAAAUAUGUGACCUUCAAUUUAUCGUCUUGGUAUAUUUUAGUGUCUGUUUAUUACGUAUGAUCAAAUGAAUGCCAAAAGAAUGAGUUAAGGAUGGACGGUACUCUUAGUUUAUUUCAAUGUUUUUGAAAGCACCAUUUAAUAAUAACAAAAUAAUAAUAAUAAUAUAGUAAUAUAAUGUCGUCGACUUUUCUUGUAAUUUUGGUAUUACAUUUACAUCAUGUAUGACAUCUAUGGCUAAUAGUAUUGUCCUUAAAAAAAUAUUGUCUUAUAGGAAUUCUCCACCGUCCGUUUGCUGAGCGGAUGAAACUAGCAACAAGUUGUUGCAAAGCAAAUUUUAAACUAGCAAGUAGCAAUAAAAAGGAGCAUGAUGUCAACCGCAAACGGCAGAACUAUAUGGGGUGAUAGAUUUGAUUUUGAGCUCCACUCACAUAAAAUUAGAUGAAAAGCUAUAUAUAAAUUACUCACUCCAUUGUUAUUAUCUAAUUUGGCCUCAUAUCUACUACCAAAAAAGAGAGCAAUUAAAAAACGGUGAAGAGGAUAACAUUAAAAACCAAGUGAAACUUGUUAGUUCUCUCGUUAAAAAACAUUUUACAUUAGAACUAUGAGUCUAUGACAUCAUAAAUUGGACUUAUUUUGGGGCGAAGGUGUCGUAUCAUGAAGCCCAAGAGGGUACAAGAAUGCUAGGGUGUUUAAUAAACGGGCCUGGAGUCCAAAAAUGCAAAGUGACCACAAUUGCAUCAUUUAUUAUUAUUGUUCGUUGAUUAAUGCGUAUUAUAUUAUCACAAAUAAAAAUGUACAACUAAAAUUUGACACAUUUUAAUUAUCCAAUAUAAAUAUGAUACGAAUAAAUCGUUAAAUUUGACACAAUUAUUAAAUAAAUCUAAUUCAUUUUGACACAUUUUUUUUCCAAGUCAGGUUAAGGUUAAAGAUCUUGUUCUAUUUACCAUGAUUAAUGAUACAAUUAUAUUUUCUAAUAUAAAUUAAUCUGUAGGUUCUUACCAUCAAAACUUAAAUAUUGGACAUUAUUCUUUUUUUUU
This 2323-nucleotide long non-coding RNA is filed under the name Citrus x clementina. RNAcentral's name for it is "Citrus clementina (C. clementina) long non-coding RNA (CCLE_LNC001177)". The record is from RNAcentral. Lineage: Eukaryota; Viridiplantae; Streptophyta; Magnoliopsida; Sapindales; Rutaceae.